Drosophila santomea is the source of this 538-nucleotide long non-coding RNA. RefSeq lists it as uncharacterized. The transcript has 2 exons. Lineage: Eukaryota; Metazoa; Arthropoda; Insecta; Diptera; Drosophilidae. The record is from RefSeq and is a predicted model, not a curated record.
GAGAGAGAAUAUUACGGAGAAUAUUACGGAGAGUUCGAAGAGAGUCCGCCCCCAAAAGUGGCGCGAAUCAAUAACCGAUUCGCCAAACGGUUUAUAUUUGAAAUGUGCUUUUCUGCUAAACAUGACUGCACUCUAAGCAUGCCUUGACUUUUCGUUUAGAGUUGAUAGAACUAAUCUCAUAAUAAAUCACUUUUUGUCGAAAUUUCAAGCGAAUAACAUCGAUUUCGGCUGGAGUAAAAAUCUCUCUGCAAUUUGUUCCAAAUUCGUGUGAAAAUGCCCGCAAAGAAGGAUUCGAGCAAAAGUGCCAAGAAAGGGGCUGCCGCUCCUGCUGGGCCGAAAGCCACCGCCGAUCCUGUGACUUCCGGCUCCACAACUGCUGCUGAGCCAGCCGCCAAGGAGGCCAAGGGCGCCAAAAAGGGCAAAGGCAAGAAGAAGUAACGUCCCCAACUGGUUUGGUGGAGCUAACGUGAAGAAAAAAGGAAACUCAAGUUUCCGCCGAGAACAAAAUAAACAAUGGUUUAAAACCAGCUAAACUAAA